This 665-nucleotide long non-coding RNA is filed under the name Elaeis guineensis (African oil palm). RNAcentral describes it as "long non-coding RNA (EGUI_LNC004813)". Lineage: Eukaryota; Viridiplantae; Streptophyta; Magnoliopsida; Arecales; Arecaceae. The record is from RNAcentral.
CACCUCAACUCGAUAUUCGGCUUUCUCCUAACUCCAAAAGCUUCUGGAUCUCCUCACUCCCAUGUCCUGGGGCAAUCACCUACUGAUCAUGGAUGGACAAACAUGGGAGUCAAGCUAGGCCACUCGAUCCCAUCUCCAUCGAUGCUGUGCUCCUCCUAACCUGAGACCUACUCGGGGCAUCGUCCUGCGGCAAUAGAAAUCUCACCUUGCGAUGUCGCCGCUCGUCCUCUCGAGUCUCCUAUCUCAUGCUCGAUUCACCUCCUGGAGCUCCACCUCACACUGGACUCCCUGCCAGAUAAUAAUAUCUUCUGCUCCUCUUCUUUUCCUCCAGCAUAUUUUAUCACCGCGUAGCACCCUCAGGAUUCCUCCACCAGCUAUCAUCCUAUAGCCUCUCGAAUCCAAUCUGCUAAGUGAGAUAAGAUUUUGUCUAAAAUCGGAUAUAUAUCAGACCUCCCCCAAUCUCCUCACUGCACUAUCAUGUGUCCUCCAGCUGACCGUCCCAAUGCCUCUGAUCGCACAGCUCGAUCCAUCCGGUAGAUAUACGGUGCCCUCACUGUUCUCUAGGGAGUCAAAUUGCUCCUCUCUGCAACAUACAUGAUAGAGACAUGCAGAAUCUAAUAUCCACUACUGGAAAGAAGUAGAUACCUUGUCAGAUAUCUCUAGGA